RNAcentral lists this ribosomal RNA (468 nucleotides) under uncultured bacterium. RNAcentral describes it as "partial 16S ribosomal RNA". It matches the Rfam family "Bacterial small subunit ribosomal RNA", at positions 28 to 507 of the family's 1533-position model. The record is from RNAcentral.
GACGAACGCUGGCGGCGUGCUUAACACAUGCAAGUCGAACGGAAAGGCCCUGCUUUUGUGGGGUGCUCGAGUGGCGAACGGGUGAGUAACACGUGAGUAACAUGCCCUUGACUUUGGGAUAACUUCAGGAAACUGGGGCUAAUACCGGAUAGGAGCUCCUGCUGCAUGGUGGGGGUUGGAAAGUUUCGGCGGUUGGGGAUGGACUAGCGGGUUAUCAGCUUGAUGGUGGGGUAGUGGAAUACCAAGGCUUUGAAGGGUAGCCGGCCUGAGAGGGUGACCGGCCACAUUGGGACUGAGGUACGGCCCAGACGCCUACGGUAGGCAGCAGUGGAAAAUAUUGCACAAUGGGCGGAAGCCUGAUGCAGCAACGCCGCGUUCGUGAUGACGGCCUUCGGGUUGUAAACCGCUUUCGCCUGUGACGAAGCGGGAGUGACGGUAAUGGGUAAAGAAGCACCGGCUAACUACGUG